GUGAAUCAUCAAAUUUUUGAACGCAAAUUGCACUCUCUUCGGAGAGUAUGCCUGUUUGAGGGUCAGCCUAAAAAAAAUUGAAGUAGUCGCUGUUUCGCGGUGACCUUCGUCGGAAAUUGGGUCAUCUUAAACCUUUGGGUUUUUUAAGCGGCUUAAAAUUUUCUUUACGUUUCCACGAACGUUUCUAUGAUUUUACUUCUUACACACGUUUAAGGUAUCGAUCUUUAUUAGACGUGACAGUUGCAUCGGUUCGCGUUCAUCAAUAUUUCGUUAACUGACCUCAUACUGGUAAGUACAC
RNAcentral lists this unclassified non-coding RNA (298 nucleotides) under Glomus sp. RNAcentral describes it as "partial contains 5.8S ribosomal RNA and internal transcribed spacer 2". The stretch from base 1 to 65 matches the Rfam family "5.8S ribosomal RNA", at positions 84 to 154 of the family's 154-position model. The record is from RNAcentral. Lineage: Eukaryota; Fungi; Glomeromycota; Glomeromycetes; Glomerales; Glomeraceae.